UGCAGUACACUCUCUGUGACCCCAGAC
Molecule: non-coding RNA, 27 nt
Filed under: Rattus norvegicus (Norway rat)
Lineage: Eukaryota; Metazoa; Chordata; Mammalia; Rodentia; Muridae
Source: RNAcentral